GAAAUCCUCUUCACAGGUCAGGUACAGGUGGCUCACGCCUAUAAUCCCAGUGAUUUGGGAGGCCGAGGUGGGAGGACUGCUUGAGCCCAGGAGUUCAAGGCUGCAGUGAGCUAUGAUGGCAUCACUGCACACUAGCAUGGGUGACAGCACAAGACCCUGUCUCUUAACAAAACAAGAAAAGAGAAGAAAAUUCCCUUUAUACACAAGGGCACCUCAGCUUUUGAAUGUGUGGCCACUGCCACCUUCAUGGCCCUGGGCAGCUCGACACUAAAUUUCCAACCACCCCUUCCGGUAUGAUGAGGCUGCCUGGCCAUCCUAGGUGGAAUCAACCACACUCAGCUCUGUGGAAGACGAAAUGCCCAACACUUCCCCAGAGCCGCCUGCAGCAACUGACACCCGCCUGCCUCUGCUGCUGCUCCACCUGCUCAGGCCUGCCUCCAGAGUUGUCAGAUAGGCGGCAAGCCAAAGGGAUCCUCAUGUUCACAGAAAGUCUUCCUGAAACCCAAGUGGACACCCAGAUCAGAGACCAUGAAGUGAAACAGAUGGAGAAACUCCCUGGAAAGUUUCACUGGGAACAAACACUGGAUUAUUCAGACUAGCCUGGACCGUGAAAAAAAUUCUACUAGAAGCAUUGUGAGCUGAAUCCAGGUGCCCUGGCUUCAAAUCCUAUCAGAGGUGGGUUCUGACAUGAGGUAGAUUAUGAGCCCACAGCCACCAGGAAGAACCAGUCACAGGCAAGAGCUUUUAGCCCUGCCCAGAAGGAAAGGACCACCAAGUUCCCAAAAGCAGCAGACAAGUGUCCUCCAGGAACUGAGAGACUCAGCCUGGUACUGUGUGCUAAUAAUUACACCGGGCUUUUUUGUUUUUUAAAGAAAAAUAAGUUGUAAAAUUCCAGCACUUUGGGAGGCCAAGGCAGGUGGAUCCCUUGAGCCCAGGAGUUUGAGACCAGCCUGGACAACAUAGUGAAACCCUGACUCUAUAAAAAAAAAAAAUAAAUAAAUAAUAAUAAUAAUAAUAAUAAUAAUACAAAAAUCAGCCAGUCGUGGUGGCACGUGCCUCUUGUCCCAGCUACUCGGGAGGCUGAUGUGGUAGGAUCACUUGAACUCAGGAGGUUGAGGCUGCAGUGAGCCAAGAAUGCACCACUGCACUCCAGCCUGGGUGACAGAUCUUGUCUUAAAAAAAAAGAAAAGAAAAGACAAAAGAAAAGAAAAAGAAGGAAAAAAGAUAAAUUGAUUUCCAGACCUUAGGGGGAAAUUGAACACGCCUAAGGUUUUUCAUUGUAUCAAAGCGAAGGCAGGGCUAUGAGCCUUGUUCAUCCACACUCCACUAAAGGGAGCUGGCAGGAGUGCCAGGAAGUUCAUGUGGGGCUCACUUCCCAAGGCCUGAACCCCACAGAGGUGAUGGAGUGUGAGACAUCACACUCCACUAACUUUGUGACUGAUACUCAGUUGUCCUGCCCGUGACAGUGUUUGCUUGGGUCAGUUCUGAUGAAGAAUGAAUGUGUGUUUACAUUUAGGAAAUUUCUCCGUUUAGGUAUGUUUACACUUAACGUCACUUCAAGUAGCUUUCUAGAUUUUGGCAAAAAUAAAAUGAUGUAUACUAAAGCUAACCAUACAUAUACCCUAGCAGCCAACAUCCACUCCCAGAUAUAUUCUCAACAGAAACGUCCACAGAUACGCACAAAAAAAACAAACCCUAAAGUGUUCAUAGCAGCAUUAUUCAUAGCAGCCAAAAACCCUGGAAGCAAUACAAAUGUACAUCAUUAAUAGAAUGAAUAAACAAACAGUUGAUAUAUUCCUACAAGAGACUAUGGUUGAUUUAUGUACAGUGUAAAAUAAACCAGAAAAAAAUGAGUGCAUAGAGUGUGGUUGAUUCCAUUUAUAUAAAGUUCAGAACUGGGCAACAAAUGUAUGGUGUGAAGAGUCAGAAUAGUGGUUAUCUUUGAGGAAGAGAGUAAGUGUGGUAGCUGGGAGGGGCUUGGAGGGGCUUCCAGGGUGAUGGUGAUCUAUUUCUCAAGCUUGUUGGUGUUAUAGAAAGGAUGUUACCUUUGAAAAUUCAUUGAGCACUUAUGAUAUGCUUGCUUUUCUGUAUCUGUUGUAUGUUGAUAAAAACUGCAUUUUAAAAUAAAAAAAGUUAGUGUCUUUUAAUCAUCUAUAUGGUAACUGUAAUUGUUGCUAGGGACCAGUAUAUUAUUGUAAAAAAAUAUGGAAAAUGAUGGACUUUCCAGGUGUACUGUUGAUACAUCUGGAGAGAGCCAACUUUAUGACAGUGGUGACUAUUAUGGUUUGGUAUUGUUGACAUCUGAAGCCCUCAGUCUUACACCUAACUUAAAUUUGGCUAUUGGUCUUACCAUGUUGUUUAACAACCUAAUCUUGGAGUUUCAAGUAAUUCCAGAUACUCACUUUGAAUGCAGGACAGGAAGGUCUAGCCUACUCAUGACCUGGAUGUAGAGAAUAGGUCCUCCCUUCGUGUGUUACUUUGGAAUUGAACCCAUUAUUCUAAAAGUACACCUGGGACCUCUUUACCUCUAAGUGACUGAUGACUCAGAGGUCACUGCACAUCUUCAGAAGACAGGGCUUUAAUGAAUAAACCAAGGAGAAUAAAAAACUAAGAGGUCUCAGGGAAGAAACUGAAAGAUUUCUUUAGAAUGUUUUCCUUUGGGUUACUUCUUAAAAAUUUAAACUUUGUCAUGCUCUCCACCCCCCAAAAAAUGUAUUAUUCCUGUAGUGACUGAGUAGCUAAAUAAAAGAUACAAAUAUUGUCUAAAUAUAAGAGUCUAUGCUUUUAAAAAAACAACUUAUUGGGAUGUUAUUUAUAUACUAUGUAUUCACCCAUUGGCACUGUACAUUUCAAAGAUUUUAGUGCAUUUCUAGAAUUAUGUAACUAACACCAUAAUCCAGUUUUAGAAUAUUUCCAUCACCCCAAAAAGUUU
Long non-coding RNA from Rhinopithecus roxellana (golden snub-nosed monkey), 2932 nucleotides. NCBI's taxonomy places the organism in Eukaryota, Metazoa, Chordata, Mammalia, Primates, Cercopithecidae. The record is from Ensembl.